RNAcentral lists this long non-coding RNA (3242 nucleotides) under Gossypium barbadense (sea-island cotton). RNAcentral's name for it is "long non-coding RNA (GBAR_LNC022147)". Lineage: Eukaryota; Viridiplantae; Streptophyta; Magnoliopsida; Malvales; Malvaceae. The record is from RNAcentral.
UCUAAAAAAACCAUUUUAAAAAUACUAAUUUAAUUGAAAUAAUACAAUAUUUAAAUAAAUGAACUAAAUUUAAAAAUUUAUGAAAUUACCAAAAGCCCCCUUUUCCUCUUUUCUCUUUUUCUUCUUCUGGGCCUAAUAGAUGUUGGGCUGCCAAAUUUGGGCUGUCAAAAGGACUGGGCUGAAGCUGCUGGGCUGCUGAGCACUGGGCCUGACGCUGGACUGGGCUGGCCUGCUUCUUGUUGGGCUGCGCUGGGCUUGGUUUGGGCCUGCUUUGUUCUUUUUUGCUAUUCUGUUUUUUUUUUGCUGUUUUGUUUUUUUUUUGGGCGUUUUGUUUUUUUUUGGGGCUGCUGGGUGUUGGAUCGGGUCGGGUCGGUGCGGGUCAACCCGACUGGGUUUAAAAAAAUAUUUUUUUUUUCUUCUUUUUUUUUUUCCCUUCCUUUCUUCUCUCUUUUUCUUCUUUUUUCUUCCUUUUUCCUUCCUCUUCGGGGCUGAACUCUAGCCCAACGCCGCCGCCGACGCCUCCUCCGUCCGGUGUUGCGGUGGCCGACACGACUCCCUUCUCCUCUCUUUCUCCCUUUCUUUCUUCUCUUCUUCCUUUUUGGUUGCUAUUUUUGCUUGCUGUUUUUGUUUCUUCUUUUUGUUUUUUCUUUGUGCUUUGCUUUGUAGGUGCAACGGUGGUUAGAAGAAUGCAAGGCACGGCGGUGGGCACGGUGGUGGUGAAGGCGGUGGUUUGGAGAGCGCGACGGUGGUGAGGGCCCUUUCGUUGCUCUUUUUUGUUUGAUUUUUUGCUGCUGUUUUCUUAGUUUUCUUUCUUUCUUUUUGCAAAAAAAAGAACCCCCCAUUCACUCUCCAUUUCUUCCCCUUUUAAUCUCUCCAAUUUGUCUUCUUUCUAAUUGUUUUCAGGUGGUAGAGGAGCCAUCAUGGCCUAGGGAGGCUGCUGGAGUAGCCCGGCUGGGGAGGGGUAGGCUCGGCAGUUGCUUGCGGCGAUUUGACAAGUCCAGAAGGACUAAAUUGCAUGGGAUGCAAAGUUUCUGGGGCAAAAGCGUAAUUUUAGCAAAAUACGGGCCAAGAUGUAAUUUCUUGAGAGUUUAGGGGUCAAAGUGAAAUUUUGAGAAAGUAUAAGGGUCGAAAUGUAAUUUUAUAAAGUUUUGGGGUAAAAAUGUAAAUUUUAGAAAAUUUUGGGGUCAAAAUGUAAAUUUUGAAAAGUACAGGGGUUAAAAUGCAAAAAAUAAAAAAAAUUCUUUUUUUUUCAAACACGAAAUUAAUCCCGGACAAAAUUCAGUGAUUACAUUCAUCAUUUUUAAACUUAUUUAUCUUCAAACUAUAAAUAACAGUAUAUCAGUUUCAUACUAGCAUUUCUUUCUUUUAUAACUAAUCAUUGAUUUUCAAAGUGUAAUUACAAUUAUAAAUCAUAUAUAUUACUAUGAACAACAAGUAAUUAUAUCUUAAUAUUUUUUAUGUAUUUCAAAGAUAGCGAAAUUGUAUUGUUUAUGGAACCAUAUUAAAUAAUACUAGUAUUAAAUAAUACUAUUUGCAUUGGCUAAAGGAACUAUUAGCACAUAAACAAAGUCCAUUUGCUUAAAACCAUUUGGGGAUUUGCAUAAUACAUGUCAAGACGGUGACUAAAUGCAACGGCUAUAGCAGUACCUCGAAUAGCAAGAUGAUUAACUACCAAACCUUUUGUUUGCAACAGAAAAUUUACCUUCAAAAAAUUCUGUUCUUUCAAUCAAACUAAGGCUGAUACAUUACAACAGAAGAAUAAAUAUUUACCUUCCACGCAAAGAAGUAGACAAGUUCUGCAGCGAAAUACGCAGCAAGCUAGCGGCAAAAAAUUGACCUUUCACGCCAAAGAAUAGCGUUAUCCUUCCAACCCAGCAAGCUAAGCACAACAACGCAAACAGCAAUUAUGAACGGUUACAAACUACUGUAAACUACAAACAGGAUAUAAACAAAUUAUGAACAAAAAUUUGCAACGAGAAAUGUUAUUAGAUUUAUAUUAUUUUAUAAGUUAUAGAGUAAGAAUUAUUUGAUAAGCUAUAGAGUGAGAAUUAUUAUGCAAUGAGAAAUGUUAUUAGAAAUGCAUUACUUGACAGCCUAUGGGACCAAAUACAACAAUUAUUUGAUAAGGUAUAUUCCAACGAAGUGUUCAAGAGAGCACUGCACAAGGUUUUUGUCAAGAGUUGGUUCAAAUGUGCCAAAUUUCUGGCAUGGUGAAUUUUCCUAACCUUUGUUUUCACUAACCAACUAAUUUAUCUAUAUAACAGCUUCCAAUGGAUGCCGUUUGGUGCCUGAACCUUUGAUCAAUUUGGUCUUUUAAAUGCAGGAAUUCGAUCGAGACCCCGUAAUUCCUAUCUAUUCAGCUAGACCAGAUCAAGUUAACAAGGCACUAAAAUACGUAUACCAUGCUGCUGCAAACAAGCUUGAAGGAAAAUAACUUGAAUUACUCAUUGCCCUUCUUCCAGACAACAAUGGAUCCUUAUAUGGUAUGUCCCUUCUUGCAACUAUAUUAAUUGUAUGAACAAAAUUUUUCAUGAUUAGCAGGAUAACAAUGUACAACAAGACGGAAUAUACUGCUUAGUUUGCUUUGAUUUUUGUUUAAAAAUAAUAAUUUUUUUUCAUGCGUAUGACAUGAGAUAUGGUACUUUUGGUUUCAGUAAGAGCAAUUAUGGGACCAAAUAUUAUCAUUUCCUAUAAUACAAACAGGAGAGUGAAAAUGAUGAAAAAAGUUAUGAACAGUUCCAAACUAUUUGGAACUACAAGCAGGAAAUAAACAAAUCAUGAACUAAAUUAUGCAAAGGCUAUAGAUAAAAUUCUAAGAACAAAUUCCCGGUCUUUUCUGUCCCAAACAGGAUACUGUAAAAUUGUCUGAAACCCAUCAACAAUUUGCGCAUUUAGUUAACAUUAUUAGGUGUAAAAUAAUGUAUGUGAGGUUGUAACCUAAACCCUAUACCAGGUGCAAAACUAUUUGCGCGCAGAAGAGAAAGAGGAAAACCUUACCGAUCGUUUUACCCAAGUGACGGUAGAGGAGUGCAGUGGUACACGACUGUCACAGUCGACGGUCGACGAGCAACAACAGAAGGGUCAGUAAACGGUAAUGUAGCAGUGAUGGUUGAGGCACAGCAGACUAGGGUUCUAGAUUUGGGCGAUUUUUGGGGAAAAUUUGGGGGGAAUUUUUGGGGAGAAAAGUGAUUUGUCGGCUAAGGGAUGGGACUAUUUGGGAUGAAAUACAGACACUAUAAAAG